GAAGCCUUCGGGCUUAGUGGCGCACGGGUGCGUAACGCGUGGGAAUCUGCCUUCAGGUACGGAAUAACUCAUGGAAACGUGUGCUAAUACCGUAUGACGUCGAAAGACCAAAGAUUUAUCGCCUGAAGAUGAGCCCGCGUAGGAUUAGCUAGUUGGUGGGGUAAAGGCCUACCAAGGCGACGAUCCUUAGCUGGUCUGAGAGGAUGAUCAGCCACACUGGGACUGAGACACGGCCCAGACUCCUACGGGAGGCAGCAGUGGGGAAUAUUGGACAAUGGGCGAAAGCCUGAUCCAGCAAUGCCGCGUGAGUGAAGAAGGCCUUCGGGUUGUAAAGCUCUUUUACCCGGGAUGAUAAUGACCGUACCGGGAGAAUAAGCCCCGGCUAACUCCGUGCCAGCAGCCGCGGUAAUACGGAGGGGGCUAGCGUUGUUCGGAAUCACUGGGCGUAAAGCGUGCGUAGGCGGCUAUUCAAGUCAGAGGUGAAAGCCUGGGGCUCAACCCCAGAACUGCCUUUGAAACUAGGUAGCUUGAACACGGGAGAGGUGAGUGGAAUUCCGAGUGUAGAGGUGAAAUUCGUAGAUAUUCGGAAGAACACCAGUGGCGAAGGCGGCUCACUGGACCGUUGUUGACGCUGAGGCACG
Molecule: ribosomal RNA, 641 nt
Filed under: Sandarakinorhabdus sp. TH61
Lineage: Bacteria; Pseudomonadati; Pseudomonadota; Alphaproteobacteria; Sphingomonadales; Sphingosinicellaceae
Description: bacterial SSU rRNA
Rfam family: Bacterial small subunit ribosomal RNA
Source: RNAcentral